CUAUCGUCGACCUUUUGCCACGUGUUUAGGCUUUACAGCCAGCUUAUUAUUAGGUUUUCUCCCUUUCGUUUGAAAUAUUUCUGAAUGGGUAAAGAAGGUCAUGUAUCUAAAUUGUCUCCUCAUGGGGUCUGUUAAUUGUUAUCAGACCCCAAGUUCGGCUAGUGCGCUUCUUCAGGUCAAUAUGGAUUUUUUUUUUACUCAAUCCUAUGUGUAUACUGUCGAGUAAAGCUUUAAAAAGGUGAAUACGGUUAGUAUCUUACUUCUUC
This 266-nucleotide long non-coding RNA is filed under the name Zea mays. RNAcentral's name for it is "long non-coding RNA (ZMAY_LNC003493)". Lineage: Eukaryota; Viridiplantae; Streptophyta; Magnoliopsida; Poales; Poaceae. The record is from RNAcentral.